RNAcentral lists this ribosomal RNA (490 nucleotides) under uncultured bacterium. RNAcentral's name for it is "partial 16S ribosomal RNA". It matches the Rfam family "Bacterial small subunit ribosomal RNA", at positions 30 to 507 of the family's 1533-position model. The record is from RNAcentral.
AUUGAACGCUGGCGGCAGGCCUAACACAUGCAAGUCGAACGGUAACAGGAAGACGCUUGCUUCUUUGCUGACGAGUGGCGGACGGGUGAGUAAUGUCUGGGAAACUGCCUGAUGGAGGGGGAUAACUACUGGAAACGGUAGCUAAUACCGCAUAACGUCGCAGGACCAAAGAGGGGGACCUUCGGGCCUCUUGCCAUCGGAUGUGCCCAGAUGGGAUUAGCUAGUAGGUGGGGUAACGGCUCACCUAGGCGACGAUCCCUAGCUGGUCUGAGAGGAUGACCAGCCACACUGGAACUGAGACACGGUCCAGACUCCUACGGGAGGCAGCAGUGGGGAAUAUUGCACAAUGGGCGCAAGCCUGAUGCAGCCAUGCCGCGUGUAUGAAGAAGGCCUUCGGGUUGUAAAGUACUUUCAGCGGGGAGGAAGGGAGUAAAGUUAAUACCUUUGCUCAUUGACGUUACCCGCAGAAGAAGCACCGGCUAACUCCGUG